Molecule: ribosomal RNA, 119 nt
Filed under: Castor canadensis (American beaver)
Lineage: Eukaryota; Metazoa; Chordata; Mammalia; Rodentia; Castoridae
Source: RNAcentral
GUCUAUGGCCAUACCACUCUGAAUGUGCCUGAUCUCCUCUGAUCCUGGAAGCUAAGCAGGGUCAGACCUGGUUAGUACUUGGAUGGGAGGAAGGCUUUGAGUGGAGAGAAAGAUAGACA